This 468-nucleotide ribosomal RNA is filed under the name uncultured bacterium. RNAcentral's name for it is "partial 16S ribosomal RNA". It matches the Rfam family "Bacterial small subunit ribosomal RNA", at positions 28 to 507 of the family's 1533-position model. The record is from RNAcentral.
GACGAACGCUGGCGGCGUGCUUAACACAUGCAAGUCGAACGGAAAGGCCCUGCUUUUGUGGGGUGCUCGAGUGGCGAACGGGUGAGUAACACGUGAGUAACCUGCCCUUGACUUUGGGAUAACUUCAGGAAACUGGGGCUAAUACCAGAUAGGAGCUCCUGCUGCAUGGUGGGGGUUGGAAAGUUUCGGCGGUUGGGGAUGGACUCGCGGCUUAUCAGCUUGUUGGUGGGGUAGUGGCUUACCAAGGCUUUGACGGGUAGCCGGCCUGAGAGGGUGACCGGCCACAUUGGGACUGAGAUACGGCCCAGACUCCUACGGUAGGCAGCAGUGGGGAAUAUUGCACAAUGGGCGGAAGCCUGAUGCAGCAACGCCGCGUUCGGGAUGACGGCCUUCGGGUUGUAAACCGCUUUCGCCUGUGACGAAGCGUGAGUGACGGUAAUGGGUAAAGAAGCACCGGCUAACUACGUG